Molecule: ribosomal RNA, 437 nt
Filed under: uncultured bacterium
Lineage: Bacteria
Description: bacterial SSU rRNA
Rfam family: Bacterial small subunit ribosomal RNA
Source: RNAcentral
AGUGAACGCUGGCGGCAGGCCUAACACAUGCAAGUCGAACGGCAGCACGGCAGUAGCAAUACUGUGGGUGGCGAGUGGCGGACGGGUGAGGAAUACAUCGGGAUCUACCCUGUUGUGGGGGAUAACGUAGGGAAACUUACGCUAAUACCGCAUAAGAACUGAGGUUGAAAGCGGCGGACCGCAAGGCGUCGCGCGAUUGGAUGAACCGAUGUCCGAUUAGCUAGUUGGCGGGGUAAAGGCCCACCAAGGCGACGAUCGGUAGCUGGUCUGAGAGGACGACCAGCCACACUGGAACUGAGACACGGUCCAGACUCCUACGGGAGGCAGCAGUGGGGAAUAUUGGACAAUGGGCGCAAGCCUGAUCCAGCCAUGCCGCGUGGGUGAAGAAGGCCUCGGUGUAAGACCUUUCGUCGUAAGAAAGACAUCGUUAUACCGGU